GAAUCAAGUGACCAAGCGCAUGCGGUGGAUGCCUUGGCGACCACAGGCGAUGAAAGACGUAGCAGCCUGCGAAAAGCUCCGGGGAGCUGGCAAACAAGCAUUGAUCCGGAGAUCUCUGAAUGGGGAAACCCACCCGCAAGGGUAUCCUAACCUGAAUCCAUAGGGUUAGGAAGCGAACUCGGGGAACUGAAACAUCUCAGUACCCGGAGGAACAGAAAUCAACCGAGAUUCCGUCAGUAGCGGCGAGCGAACGCGGAACAGCCACCAGCAGAUAACCGUCCGGUUAGGAGAACGGCCUGGAAAGGCCGGCCAUAGCGGGUGACAGCCCCGUAUCCGAAAACCCGACGGCGAGACUAAGGCUGGACCAAGUAGGGCGGGGCACGUGAAACCCUGUCUGAACAUGGGGGGACCAUCCUCCAAGGCUAAAUACUCGUGGUCGACCGAUAGUGCACCAGUACCGUGAGGGAAAGGCGAAAAGAACCCCGGUGAGGGGAGUGAAAUAGAACCUGAAACCGCAUGCGUACAAGCAGUCGGAGCCUCUUUAUGGGGUGACGGCGUACCUUUUGUAUAAUGGGUCAGCGACUUACUUUCAGUGGCAAGCUUAACCGGUAGGGGAAGCGCAGGGAAACCGAGUCCGAAUAGGGCGAUCAGUCGCUGGGAGUAGACCCGAAACCGAGCGAUCUAUCCAUGACCAGGCUGAAGGUGGGGUAACACCCACUGAAGGGCCGAACCCACGCCCGUUGAAAAGGUCGGGGAUGAGUUGUGGAUCGGAGUGAAAGGCUAAUCAAGCUCGGAGAUAGCUGGUUCUCCCCGAAAGCUAUUGAGGUAGCGCCUCGUGUCUCACUCCUGGGGGUAGAGCACUGUUUCGGCUAGGGGGCCAUCCCGGCUUACCAACCCGAGGCAAACUCCGAAUACCGGGAAGUGCAAUCACGGGAGACACACGGCGGGUGCGAACAUCCGUCGUGAAGAGGGAAACAACCCAGACCGCCAGCUAAGGUCCCCAAAUUGCGGCUCAGUGGGAAACGAUGUGGGAAGGCCCAGACAGCCAGGAGGUUGGCUUAGAAGCAGCCAUCCUUUAAAGAAA
This 1084-nucleotide ribosomal RNA is filed under the name Candidatus Competibacter phosphatis. Its description in RNAcentral is "bacterial LSU rRNA". It matches the Rfam family "Bacterial large subunit ribosomal RNA", at positions 1 to 1131 of the family's 2925-position model. The record is from RNAcentral. Lineage: Bacteria; Pseudomonadati; Pseudomonadota; Gammaproteobacteria; Candidatus Competibacteraceae.